ACGCUCGACACCUACGGGAGGAGCAGUGAGGAAUAUUGGUCAAUGGGCGCAGGCCUGAACCAGCCAAGUAGCGUGAAGGAUGACUGCCCUAUGGGUUGUAAACUUCUUUUAUAUGGGAAUAAAGUUUUCCACGUGUGGAAUUUUGUAUGUACCAUAUGAAUAAGGAUCGGCUAACUCCGUGCAGCAGCCGCGGUAAUCUGAGCGGGCUGGCAAGGC
This 216-nucleotide ribosomal RNA is filed under the name uncultured bacterium. RNAcentral's name for it is "partial 16S ribosomal RNA". It matches the Rfam family "Bacterial small subunit ribosomal RNA", at positions 328 to 539 of the family's 1533-position model. The record is from RNAcentral.